Molecule: ribosomal RNA, 492 nt
Filed under: uncultured bacterium
Lineage: Bacteria
Description: partial 16S ribosomal RNA
Rfam family: Bacterial small subunit ribosomal RNA
Source: RNAcentral
GAUGAACGCUGGCGGCGUGCCUAAUACAUGCAAGUCGAGCGAACAGAUGAGGAGCUUGCUCCUCUGACGUUAGCGGCGGACGGGUGAGUAACACGUGGAUAACCUACCUAUAAGACUGGGAUAACUUCGGGAAACCGGAGCUAAUACCGGAUAAUAUAUUGAACCGCAUGGUUCAAUAGUGAAAGACGGUUUUGCUGUCACUUAUAGAUGGAUCCGCGCCGCAUUAGCUAGUUGGUAAGGUAACGGCUUACCAAGGCAACGAUGCGUAGCCGACCUGAGAGGUCGGUCCCCGAGAGUGGAACUGCGCCACGCUCCCCAAGCCUGAGGGAGGAAGCAGUGAGGCAUCUUGGUAAGUGGGCCGGAGCCUGAAACACCCAAGUAGCGUGAUGGAAGACGGGCAUAUGAUUUGUAACUUUAUGAGAGAAGAAAAUAAAGUGGGUAACGUGUCACUUUUUGCAUGUACCUCAUGAAUAAGGACCCGCUCGUCCCGUC